GUACUGCGAGUGAAGCGGGAAAGGCUCAAAUUUAAAAUCUGAUGGUCUUUGAUCAUCCGAGUUGUAAUCUAGAGAAGUGUCUUCCGCGCCGGACCAUGCAUAAGUCUCCUGGAACGGAGCGUCAUAGAGGGUGAGAAUCCCGUCUUUGGCAUGGAACCUCCCGGGGCUUCUGUGAUGCACUCUCGAAGAGUCGAGUUGUUUGGGAAUGCAGCUCAAAAUGGGUGGUGAACUCCAUCUAAAGCUAAACAUUGGCGAGAGACCGAUAGCGAACAAGUACCGUGAGGGAAAGAUGAAAAGCACUUUGGAAAGAGAGUGAAACAGUACGUGAAAUUGUUGAAAGGGAAACGCUUGGAGUCAGUCACGUCGACCGAGACUCAUCCAUUGCCCCUUUGGGCUUGGUGUACUUCUCGGCUGAUGGGCCAGCAUCAAUUUUGUCCCUCAGAUAAUGGCAGGGGAAAGGUGGCACCCUCAUGGGUGUGUUAUAGUCCCCUGUCGCAUGUGAGGGAUGGGAUUGAGGAACUCAGCACGCGCCUCUUGGUGUCCGGGGCUUUGGCCCACGCUUACGUGCUUAGGAUGCUGGCAUAAUGGCUCUAAACGACCCGUCUUGAAACACGGACCAAGGAGUCUAACAUGCCUGCAAGUGUUCGGGUGGAAAACCCGUGUGCGAAAUGAAAGUGAAAGUUGGGACCUCUGUCGUGGAGGGCACCGACGCCCGGACCAGACCUUCUGUGAYGGAUCUGCGGUAGAGCAUGCAUGUUGGGACCCGAAAGAUGGUGAACUAUGCCUGAAUAGGGUGAAGCCAGAGGAAACUCUGGUGGAGGCUCGUAGCGAUUCUGACGUGCAAAUCGAUCGUCAAUUUGGGUAUAGGGGCGAAAGACUAAUCGAACCAUCUA
RNAcentral lists this ribosomal RNA (893 nucleotides) under Lactifluus sp. RNAcentral describes it as "partial large subunit ribosomal RNA". The record is from RNAcentral. Lineage: Eukaryota; Fungi; Basidiomycota; Agaricomycetes; Russulales; Russulaceae.